RNAcentral lists this long non-coding RNA (763 nucleotides) under Sinocyclocheilus anshuiensis. RNAcentral's name for it is "lncRNA (ENSSANG00000011540.1)". The record is from RNAcentral. Lineage: Eukaryota; Metazoa; Chordata; Actinopteri; Cypriniformes; Cyprinidae.
AUCCUGAGCUCUUGCCUGAUUCAGUCUGAUCAUGCACACAGUCCCUCUUCUCUGUCUGGCUGCUCUAAGCACCUCAGCACUAAUAACUUGUCAUCCUAUACAAAAGGAAACAAUCCAAACAGAUUUAACAAGAGAAAAUCUGAGCAAUAUGGAGACCAUGAUCAGUACAUACGGAUAUUUCCUGAUGAUGAAAUUUAGUAAAAGAAUGAGGAAAGCCAUUUCUCGAGAGUCCAAAGUAGCUGCUUUACUGAAGAAAAGAAGCAAGGACUGCUUCUUACUACUUCAUAUUAAAACAAAUAAUAUAAUGUGCUUGGAUAGAACUAAAAACACAUAUAUUUCAGUUGAUGGCAUUAAUAAGGACUGCUUUAAAACAAUUCACGGAAAGAAUUCCCAUCAUGCUUUGUGCCCAUGGAGGAGUGACGCAAUGAUCAAGCUUGUUGGAGGUAAAAGUCACACCGAGGCUUAUAGUACAGAAUUACAUCAUUCUCUGCAGUCAAACAACCAUAAAACACAUCGCGGACAGAGAAGAAGCCAGUAUAUUGACCCAUCUGAUCCCUUGGGAUCUGAGAAUCCAAGGUCAAGGACUGCUAAUUAUCGAAGACCAAAUCGAGAGCAUGAGCACGAGCGCAGCAGUAAUGUUUCUAAAGAAACCAUCACUUCCUAUGACGACCCUUUACACGUACUGCUCUCCAAGAGCCCUGUCAGUCCUAAUUUACAAAAACAGAAGAAACACAAGCAAGUUGCACCAUCUGAUCCAUUCUGA